UACUAGAGUAGCACUUGCAUAUCAAUAAGCGGAGGAAAAGAAACUAACAAGGAUUCCCCUAGUAACGGCGAGUGAAGCGGGAAGAGCUCAAAUUUGAAAUCUUAAAGGGUUUCCCUUUACGAACUGUAGUUUAAAGAAGUGUUUUCUGUUGAGGUUUUGGUAAAAGUUCUUUGGAAUAGGACAUCAUAGAGGGUGAGAAUCCCGUAUUUGACCUUUACUUUCAACUUUGUGAUACACUUUCAAAGAGUCGGAUUGUUUGGGAAUGCAGUCCAAAAUGGGUGGUAAAUUUCAUCUAAAGCUAAAUAUUGGCGAGAGACCGAUAGCGAACAAGUACCGUGAGGGAAAGAUGAAAAGAACUUUGAAAAGAGAGUUAAACAGUACGUGAAAUUGUCAAAAGGGAAGCGUUUGACACCAGUGUUGUUUUUCUGAAAAUCAAUUAAAGAACUGUUUAUGCUAAGCUGUUUAGACUUUAUCAGCUAACUGUUUAGUUUUGAGCUUUUCUUUAAUGCACUUUUCAGUUAACAAGUCAACAUCAAUUUCUUUUGCUGUAAAAAAGCUUGAGGAAGGUGGCUUGAGAUUCGUCUUAAGUGUUUAUAGCCUCUUGCCUAUGCAGUCGGAGAGAUUGAGGUCUGCAGCGUAGAUCCUUCGGGGCUAAAUGCAUUUGUGCUAAGUUAUAGCAUUUUAUAGACAACUUGUUGACUAUGAUUUGUCUUGUAGCUUACUCGCUUAUGUUAUUUUACCUACGCUUAGGAUGUUGAGUAGCGACAUACGCAC
RNAcentral lists this ribosomal RNA (774 nucleotides) under uncultured Neocallimastigales. RNAcentral's name for it is "partial large subunit ribosomal RNA". It matches the Rfam family "Eukaryotic large subunit ribosomal RNA", at positions 16 to 649 of the family's 3401-position model. The record is from RNAcentral. Lineage: Eukaryota; Fungi; Neocallimastigomycota; Neocallimastigomycetes; Neocallimastigales.